GACAGAGGGUGCGAACGUUGUUCGGAAUUACUGGGCGUAAAGCGCGUGUAGGCGGCAGCGUAAGUCGGGCGUGAAAUCCCACGGCUCAACCGUGGAAGUGCACUCGAAACUGCGCAGCUAGAGUCCUGGAGAGGAAGGUGGAAUGCUUGGUGUAGAGGUGAAAUUCGUAGAUAUCAAGCGGAACGCCGGUGGCGAAGGCGGCCUUCUGGACAGUGACUGACGCUGAGACGCGAAAGCGUGGGGAGCAAACAGG
RNAcentral lists this ribosomal RNA (253 nucleotides) under uncultured bacterium. RNAcentral's name for it is "partial 16S ribosomal RNA". It matches the Rfam family "Bacterial small subunit ribosomal RNA", at positions 524 to 776 of the family's 1533-position model. The record is from RNAcentral.